CGGCGUGCUUAACACAUGCAAGUCGAACGGAAAGGCCCUGCUUUUGUGGGGUGCUCGAGUGGCGAACGGGUGAGUAACACGUGAGUAACCUGCCCUUGACUUUGGGAUAACUUCAGGAAACUGGGGCUAAUACCGGAUAGGAGCUCCUGCUGCAUGGUGGGGGUUGGAAAGUUUCGGCGGUUGGGGAUGGACUCGCGGCUUAUCAGCUUGUUGGUGGGGUAGUGGCUUACCAAGGCUUUGACGGGUAGCCGGCCUGAGAGGGUGACCGGCCACAUUGGGACUGAGAUACGGCCCAGACUCCUACGGGAGGCAGCAGUGGGGAAUAUUGCACAAUGGGCGGAAGCCUGAUGCAGCAACGCCGCGUGCGGGAUGACGGCCUUCGGGUUGUAAACCGCUUUCGCCUGUGACGAAGCGUGAGUGACGGUAAUGGGUAAAGAAGCACCGGCUAACUACGUGCCAGCAGCCGCGGUGAUACGUAGGGUGCGAGCGUUGUCCGGAUUUACUGGGCGUAAAGGGCUCGUAGGUGGUUGAUCGCGUCGGAAGUGUAAUCUUGGGGCUUAACCCUGAGCGUGCUUUCGAUACGGGUUGACUUGAGGAAGGUAGGGGAGAAUGGAAUUCCUGGUGGAGCGAUGGAAUGCGCAGAUAUCAGGAGGAACACCAGUGGCGAAGGCGGUUCUCUGGGCCUUUCCUGACGCUGAGGAGCGAAAGCGUGGGGAGCGAACAGGCUUAGAUACCCUGGUAGUCCACGCUGUAAACGGUGGGUACUAGGUGUGGGGUCCAUUCCACGGGUUCCGUGCCGUAGCUAACGCUUUAAGUACCCCGCCUGGGGAGUACGGCCGCAAGGCUAAAACUCAAAGGAAUUGACGGGGCCCCGCACAAGCGGCGGAGCAUGCGGAUUAAUUCGAUGCAACGCGUAGUACCUUACCUGGGUUUGACAUGGAUCGGGAGUGCUCAGAGAUGGGUGUGCCUCUUUUGGGGUCGGUUCACAGGUGGUGCAUGGCUGUCGUCAGCUCGUGUCGUGAGAUGUUGGGUUAAGUCCCGCAACGAGCGCAACCCUUGUUCACUGUUGCCAGCACGUUAUGGUGGGGACUCAGUGGAGACCGCCGGGGUCAACUCGGAGGAAGGUGGGGAUGACGUCAAGUCAUCAUGCCCCUUAUGUCCAGGGCUUCACGCAUGCUACAAUGGCUGGUACAGAGAGUGGCGAGCCUGUGAGGGUGAGCGAAUCUCGGAAAGCCGGUCUCAGUUCGGAUUGGGGUCUGCAACUCGACCUCAUGAAGUCGGAGUCGCUAGUAAUCGCAGAUCAGCAACGCUGCGGUGAAUACGUUCCCGGGGCUUGUACACACCGCCCGUCAAGUCAUGAAAGUUGGUAACACCCGAAGCCGGUGGCCUAACCGUUGUGGGGGAGCCGUCGAAGGUGGGACUGGUGAUUAGGACUAAG
RNAcentral lists this ribosomal RNA (1438 nucleotides) under uncultured organism. RNAcentral's name for it is "16S ribosomal RNA". It matches the Rfam family "Bacterial small subunit ribosomal RNA". The record is from RNAcentral.